RNAcentral lists this small RNA (501 nucleotides) under Histoplasma capsulatum. Its description in RNAcentral is "hypothetical RNA". Lineage: Eukaryota; Fungi; Ascomycota; Eurotiomycetes; Onygenales; Ajellomycetaceae. The record is from RNAcentral. RNAcentral also lists the same sequence under 1 other name.
UCUACUACAAAAUCGGUGCCUGCCGCCAUGGUGAUCGAUGUUCGCGAAAGCACGUAAAGCCUUCAUACUCGCAGACGAUCCUCCUGCCAAAUCUGUACCAAAACCCGGCAUAUGACACCAAGAAUAAAAUGAACCCGAGCCAGCUGCAAAACCACUUCGAUGCCUUCUAUGAAGAUUUCUGGUGUGAAAUGUGCAAAUAUGGCGAACUUGAAGAGGUCGUAGUGUGCGAUAAUAACAAUGACCACCUAAUCGGAAACGUGUAUGCUCGAUUUAAAUACGAAGACUCAGCGCAGCAGGCCUGCGAUGCGCUGAAUUCUCGAUGGUAUGCGGCGCGACCCAUAUACUGCGAGCUAUCCCCCGUCACCGAUUUCCGAGAAGCAUGUUGUCGGCUGAAUAGUGGAGAAGGGUGUGUUCGCGGAGGGUUCUGCAAUUUCAUACAUCGGAAGGAACCAAGUCCUGAGCUAGAGAGGGAGCUCGAGCUCUCGACGAAGAAAUGGCUGA